UAUUUUAGAAGAGUGAAAAGAAGAGUUGG
Molecule: non-coding RNA, 29 nt
Filed under: Rattus norvegicus (Norway rat)
Lineage: Eukaryota; Metazoa; Chordata; Mammalia; Rodentia; Muridae
Source: RNAcentral